RNAcentral lists this transfer RNA (65 nucleotides) under Doratura stylata. RNAcentral describes it as "tRNA-Thr". It matches the Rfam family "tRNA". From Rfam's summary of the family: Transfer RNA (tRNA) molecules are approximately 80 nucleotides in length. Their secondary structure includes four short double-helical elements and three loops (D, anti-codon, and T loops). The record is from RNAcentral. Lineage: Eukaryota; Metazoa; Arthropoda; Insecta; Hemiptera; Cicadellidae.
GUUUUAAUAAUUUAAUAAAAAUAUUAGUCUUGUAAACUAAAAUUAGGAAUACAACCUUUAAAACU